AUUGAACGCUGGCGGCAUGCCUUACACAUGCAAGUCGAACGGUAACAGGUCUUCGGAAGCUGACGAGUGGCGCACGGGUGAGUAAUACAUCGGAACGUGCCCGAUCGUGGGGGAUAACGAGGCGAAAGCUUUGCUAAUACCGCAUACGAUCUACGGAUGAAAGCGGGGGAUCUUCGGACCUCGCGCGGACGGAGCGGCCGAUGGCAGAUUAGGUAGUUGGUGGGAUAAAAGCUUACCAAGCCGACGAUCUGUAGCUGGUCUGAGAGGAUGAUCAGCCACACUGGGACUGAGACACGGCCCAGACUCCUACGGGAGGCAGCAGUGGGGAAUUUUGGACAAUGGGCGAAAGCCUGAUCCAGCCAUGCCGCGUGCAGGAUGAAGGCCUUCGGGUUGUAAACUGCUUUUGUACGGAACGAAAAGCCUCUUUCUAAUAAAGAGGGGUCAUGACGGUACCGUAAGAAUAAGCACCGGCUAACUACGUG
This 482-nucleotide ribosomal RNA is filed under the name uncultured bacterium. RNAcentral's name for it is "partial 16S ribosomal RNA". It matches the Rfam family "Bacterial small subunit ribosomal RNA", at positions 30 to 507 of the family's 1533-position model. The record is from RNAcentral.